CCUACGGGAGGCAGCAGUGGGGGAUAUUGCACAAUGGGGGAAACCCUGAUGCAGCGACGCCGCGUGUGGGAAGACGGUCCUCUGGUUUUUAAACCAUUGUCCCCAGGGACGAAGAUGACGGUACCUGGGGAGCAAGCUCCGGCUAACUACGUGCCAGCAGCCGCGGUAAUACGUAGGGGGCGAGCGUUGUCCGGAAUUACUGGGGGAAAAGGGAGCGUAGGCGGGACGGCAAGUUGGGUGUCAAAUCUACCGGCUCAACCGGUAGCCGCACUCAAAACUGCAGUUCUUGAGUGAAGUAGAGGCAGGCGGAAUUCCGAGUGUAGCGGUGAAAUGCGUAGAUAUUAGGAGGAACACCAGUGGCGAAGGCGGCCUGCUGGGCUUUUACUGACGCUGAGGCUCGAAAGUGUGGGGAGCAAACAGGAUUAGAUACCCCUGUAGUC
Molecule: ribosomal RNA, 440 nt
Filed under: uncultured bacterium
Lineage: Bacteria
Description: partial 16S ribosomal RNA
Rfam family: Bacterial small subunit ribosomal RNA
Source: RNAcentral